This 5074-nucleotide long non-coding RNA is filed under the name Gossypium barbadense (sea-island cotton). RNAcentral's name for it is "long non-coding RNA (GBAR_LNC022675)". The record is from RNAcentral. Lineage: Eukaryota; Viridiplantae; Streptophyta; Magnoliopsida; Malvales; Malvaceae.
GGUAGUGGAUUGUUGUUGUUGGUAGUGGGUUGUUGGUGGUAGUGGAUUAGUGGAUGGUUGUUGGUGUCCAUUUUCAACCACAAAUCUUUGCCAAAGUUUUGGACAAUUAUGUCCUUGAACUCUCUUAUAAAUAGAGAGGUUCAUUAGCCAUAUUGAUCAUCCCCAAACCAAGAGAGAGCAAAGCUUGUUCUUUGAAAGCUAGGAUUUUAGCUUUCGGGUUUUCUAUAGGGGUUGAGAGUUGUGAGGUUCUCGGGUUGUGUCUUGAGUGUAAAACACUUGUAAUCUUCAUCUUGUUAUAGUGAAAUUUCUUUUCGCCUCUGCCCGUGGACGUAGGCAUUAAAGCCGAACCACGUAAAUCCUUGUGUUCACUUUAUUUUUCGUUUCGGUCAAUUUACUUGUAGUCAUAUCGGAGUUCUCGAAUCGAUCCUUUCCGCAACAAAUUGGUAUCAGAGCGUAGUUGAAGGAGUGAUAAUAUUUUCUGAAUUGCCCUGUGACUGCAGCUUUGUCUGAUCUUUCACAUCAGGAAGAAAAUAUUAUCAUUCAUUCAAAGGUUCCAAAUUAUGGCUACAAGUGUUUCAUCGACUAAGUAUGAUGUCGAGAAAUUUACCGGGAAAAAUAGUUUCAGUUUAUGGCGCAUCAAGAUGCGGGCAGUGCUGGUUCAACAAGGAUUGCUAAAAGCAUUGUCUGGUAAAGAUAAAUUACCAAGCACGCUUUCGGAAGAGCAAAAGGAUGACAUGCUAGAAAGAGCACAUAGUGCUAUUCUGCUAUGUCUAGGAGAUGAAGUGCUACGAGAAGUAGCGGAUGAGAAAACCGCGUCCGGUUUGUGGCUCCGGUUAGAGAGCAAGUACAUGACGAAGUCAUUGACGAACCGGCUCUACCUCAAGCAAAGACUCUAUGCCCUGAAGAUGGAGGAAGGUACACCUGUUUCCCAGCACCUGGAUAAAUUCAAUUCCAUUAUCAUGGAUUUGAAUAAUAUCGAUAACAAAAUCGAUGAUGAGGACCAAGCAAUAAUUGUUUUGUGUUCUUUGCCUCCCUCGUAUGAGAAUUUUGUUGAUACAAUGAUGUACGGUCGUGAUGACCUGACUCUAGAGGAGGUGAAAAAUGCCUUAAGUUCCAGUGAGUUGAGGAAGAAAAUCACUGGUAAGGUGGUCGAAAACAAUGAAGGCGAAGGCUUGGUUGCUCGAGGAAGAUCCAAGGCAAAGGGUGGAAGUUCAAGUAAAAGCCAUCCUAGAUCGCAGUCCAAGAAGAGAAUACAGUGCUACUACUGUAAGAAGUACGGGCACAUGAAGGUAGAUUGUCCGAAAAGGAAGGAGAAAUCAGAAUCACAGGAGCAACAAAAUGAUCGUGCGAAUGUAGCUGAUGCAGAUUCUUCAAGUGAUGCCGAGAUCGUUCUUGCAGUAUCCGACUCUUACGCUGGUGGGAGAUGGAUUCUUGAUACGGGAGCUACAUUUCAUAUAAGUACUUCGAAAGAUGCAUUCUCAACAUACGAGAAGCAUUCUGGUUCAGUACUAAUGGGAAAUGACCACGCAUGUCAAGUCAUGGGGAUUGGCACAGUUCGUAUAAAGAUGUUUGACGGUAUUGUUAGAACUCUAACUGAUGUUCGGCACAUUCCAGAAAUGAAGAAAAAUUUGAUCUCUUUGAGUACGUUGGACAAGAAAGGCUUUCGGUACUCUGCUGAAGGUGGAGUUCUCAAGGUAUUCUCGGGUGCUUUGACUGUGAUACGUGGUAAUUUGGAGCGGGGCCUUUACUUCCUCGAUGGUUCCUCGGUUACAGGUGUUGCGGGAGUGUCAUCAUCAGAUGAUCUAGAUUCUGACACCACGAAGUUAUGGCAUAUGCGGCUCGGGCAUAUGAGCGAGAGAGGCUUAUCGGUGCUAAGCAAACGAGGAUUAUUGUCUGGGCAGUGUACAGGAAAGUUGAAUUUCUGUGAGCACUGCGUCUUCGGUAAGCAGACUCGGGUAAAGUUCAGCACUGGGAUUCACAAGACAAAAGGCACAGUGGAUUACUUCCAUUCUGACCUUUGGGGGCCUUCUCCGACAAUUUCUAAAGGUGGUUACAGAUAUCUGCUUACCUUUAUCGAUGAUUACUCGAGAAAGGUUUGGGUGUAUUUUCUGAAGAGCAAGUAUGAGGUUCUCAUCAACUUCAAGCAAUUUAAAGCUUUGAUCGAAAAUCAAACAGGAAAGAAGAUCAAGCGAUUCCGGACGGAUAAUGGCUUGGAGUUUUGCUCAGGUGAAUUCAAUGAGUUCUGCAAAAAUGAAGGAAUAGUGAGACACCGCACUGUUCGUCGAACACCACAACAAAAUGGAGUUGCAGAACGCAUGAAUAGAACUCUCUUGGAGCGAGCUCGUUGCAUGCGAUCAAAUGCUGGGCUCGGUGAAGAAUUUUGGGCUGAAGCUGUUAAUACUGCUUGUUAUUUGGUUAACAGAUCUCCGUCAACAGCUAUUGAGCUGAAGACUCCUGAGGAAGUAUGGUCUGGUUCUCCUGCUGAUUACUCUGGUUUAAGAGUGUUUGGCUGCCCUGUGUAUGCUCAUGUAAAUGAGGGAAAACUCAAACCGAGGGCGAAGAAAUGCAUAUUUCUUGGAUACGGCCAAGGGGUGAAAGGAUACAGGUUGUGGUGUCCUGAUCCGGUUUCGUCCAAGUUCAUCAUCAGCAGAGAUGUGACUUUUGAUGAGUCAUCCAUGCUUCGAUCCACCACAAAUUCCCGGGAAAAGGAGGAGUCAGAUAGAAUGGGAGAUCACGGUGUUGAGAAGCAGGUGGAGUGUCAGGUGGACGCUCCAAUUCCUACGGAAGGUACUUCAGUCCAGGAUGAUCAAGUUGAGGUGCAAGAUUCUGAUGAAGAUGAGUCACCUCAAGAAAAACCAUAUAGCAUUGCCACUGGAAGAACGAAGAGACAAAUCAAACCAAAUCCGCGUUACGCUAAUCUGGUGUCUUUCGCGCUCAGUGUGGCGGAGUCCAUUGGUAUAGAACCUUCCAGUUAUAAUGAGGCUGUCACGUGUGAUGAGUCGGCACAGUGGGCAAUUGCUAUGAGUGAGGAGAUAGAAUCUCUUCACAAGAACCAUACUUGGGAGUUGGUUAAGCCGCCAAGUAACCAGAAGAUAGUUGGUUGCAAAUGGGUCUUCAAGAAAAAGGAAGGCAUCCUAGGGGUUGAAGCAACUAGAUUCAAGGCACGAUUGGUUGCUAAAGGCUUCACUCAGAAAGAGGGGAUUGACUACAAUGAAGUUUUCUCCCCAGUCGUAAAGCAUUCUUCCAUUCGUGUAUUACUUGCCAUGGUGGCCAAGUCUGAUCUAGAACUUGAGCAGCUUGACGUAAAAACGGCGUUCUUGCAUGGUGAGCUCGAGGAAACAAUCUACAUGCGUCAACCAGAGGGUUUUACAGUUCCUGGUAAAGAAGACCAUGUCUGUCUAUUAAAGAAGUCUUUAUAUGGAUUGAAACAAUCCCCAAGGCAGUGGUACAAGCGGUUUGAUAGCUUCAUGAUUCAGCAUGGUUACACAAGAUGUGACUAUGAUGCUUGUGUCUAUCAUCGGAAGCUCUCAGAUGGUUCGCACAUUUAUUUGUUGCUGUAUGUUGAUGACAUGUUAAUUGCUUCCAAAAACAUGUCGGAAAUCAACAAGUUAAAGUCGCAGUUGAGUGGUGAGUUCGAGAUGAAGGAUCUGGGUGCUGCCAAGAAAAUUUUGGGCAUGGAUAUUCACAGAGAUCGCAAGGCGGGCAAGCUUCGUGUGUCGCAGAAGAACUACAUUGAAAAGGUUCUUCAACGCUUCGGCAUGGAUAAAGCGAAAACUGUGAGUACUCCGUUGGCACCACAUUUCAAACUCUCUGCAGAGUUGUCACCACAAUCUGAUGAAGAAAAGCAGCAAAUGUCUCACAUUCCAUACUCGAGUGCAGUUGGAAGCGUGAUGUAUGCAAUGGUUUGCACUCGUCCAGACAUUUCACAUGCAGUUAGUGUGGUCAGCAGAUACAUGAGUUGUCCUGGCAAGGAACACUGGCAGGCCGUGAAAUGGAUUCUCAGGUACUUGAGAGGUUCUGCAGAUUUAUGCUUGGUAUAUGAUCAGAGUGACUGCACUAGCAGUGUCACGGGCUAUGUGGACUCUGAUUAUGCUGGAGAUCUGGACAAAAGAAGAUCUCUGACGGGUUAUGUUUUCACUUAUUCUGGAGGAGCCAUUAGUUGGAAAGCUGUGUUACAGUCUACCGUAGCCUUAUCUACGACUGAGGCGGAAUAUAUGGCGUUAGCAGAAGCAGUGAAAGAAGCAUUGUGGAUGAAAGGUCUAGUAAGCAGUUUGGGUUUACAACAGGAUUUCACUGUUGUAUUUUGCGAUAGCCAGAGUGCCAUACAUCUGACUAAAAAUCAGAUGUUUCAUGAACGGACCAAACACAUUGAUGUCAGAUAUCAUUUUGUUCGGGAACAUGUUACGCAAGGUGACAUUGUUAUCAGCAAGGUUGCUACCGAGAAGAAUCCUGCAGAUAUGUUAACUAAGGUGAUCCCUGCAUAUAAGUUCAAGCAUUGCUUGGACUUGAUAGGUAUUCGGGAUUGAUUAGCGCCAGAGAGGCGUUUGGAAGAGGUGAUCCAGUUCGAGGAAUUCACUAUGAUGUUCAGCUUGGUAAAUUUCAAGCCAAGGUGGAGAUUUGUUAAGAAAUGGCUUAAAAUUGGUAGUGGAUUGUUGUUGUUGGUAGUGGGUUGUUGGUGGUAGUGGAUUAGUGGAUGGUUGUUGGUGUCCAUUUUCAACCACAAAUCUUUGCCAAAGUUUUGGACAAUUAUGUCCUUGAACUCUCUUAUAAAUAGAGAGGUUCAUUAGCCAUAUUGAUCAUCCCCAAACCAAGAGAGAGCAAAGCUUGUUCUUUGAAAGCUAGGAUUUUAGCUUUCGGGUUUUCUAUAGGGGUUGAGAGUUGUGAGGUUCUCGGGUUGUGUCUUGAGUGUAAAACACUUGUAAUCUUCAUCUUGUUAUAGUGAAAUUUCUUUUCGCCUCUGCCCGUGGACGUAGGCAUUAAAGCCGAACCACGUAAAUCCUUGUGUUCACUUUAUUUUUCGUUUCGGUCAAUUUACUUGUAGUCAUAUCGGAGUUCUCGAAUCGAUCCUUUCCGC